GGUUAAGCGACUAAGCGUACACGGUGGAUGCCCUGGCAGUCAGAGGCGAUGAAGGACGUGCUAAUCUGCGAUAAGCGUCGGUAAGGUGAUAUGAACCGUUAUAACCGGCGAUUUCCGAAUGGGGAAACCCAGUGUGAUUCGUCACACUAUCAUUAACUGAAUCCAUAGGUUAAUGAGGCGAACCGGGGGAACUGAAACAUCUAAGUACCCCGAGGAAAAGAAAUCAACCGAGAUUCCCCCAGUAGCGGCGAGCGAACGGGGAGCAGCCCAGAGCCUGAAUCAGUGUGUGUGUUAGUGGAAGCGUCUGGAAAGGCGUGCGAUACAGGGUGACAGCCCCGUACACAAAAAUGCACAUACUGUGAGCUCGAUGAGUAGGGCGGGACACGUGGUAUCCUGUCUGAAUAUGGGGGGACCAUCCUCCAAGGCUAAAUACUCCUGACUGACCGAUAGUGAACCAGUACCGUGAGGGAAAGGCGAAAAGAACCCCGGCGAGGGGAGUGAAAAAGAACCUGAAACCGUGUACGUACAAGCAGUGGGAGCACGCUUAGGCGUGUGACUGCGUACCUUUUGUAUAAUGGGUCAGCGACUUAUAUUCUGUAGCAAGGUUAACCGAAUAGGGGAGCCGAAGGGAAACCGAGUCUUAACUGGGCGUUAAGUUGCAGGGUAUAGACCCGAAACCCGGUGAUCUAGCCAUGGGCAGGUUGAAGGUUGGGUAACACUAACUGGAGGACCGAACCGACUAAUGUUGAAAAAUUAGCGGAUGACUUGUGGCUGGGGGUGAAAGGCCAAUCAAACCGGGAGAUAGCUGGUUCUCCCCGAAAGCUAUUUAGGUAGCGCCUCGUGAAUUCAUCUCCGGGGGUAGAGCACUGUUUCGGCAAGGGGGUCAUCCCGACUUACCAACCCGAUGCAAACUGCGAAUACCGGAGAAUGUUAUCACGGGAGACACACGGCGGGUGCUAACGUCCGUCGUGAAGAGGGAAACAACCCAGACCGCCAGCUAAGGUCCCAAAGUCAUGGUUAAGUGGGAAACGAUGUGGGAAGGCCCAGACAGCCAGGAUGUUGGCUUAGAAGCAGCCAUCAUUUAAAGAAAGCGUAAUAGCUCACUGGUCGAGUCGGCCUGCGCGGAAGAUGUAACGGGGCUAAACCAUGCACCGAAGCUGCGGCAGCGACGCUUAUGCGUUGUUGGGUAGGGGAGCGUUCUGUAAGCCUGUGAAGGUGUGCUGUGAGGUAUGCUGGAGGUAUCAGAAGUGCGAAUGCUGACAUAAGUAACGAUAAAGCGGGUGAAAAGCCCGCUCGCCGGAAGACCAAGGGUUCCUGUCCAACGUUAAUCGGGGCAGGGUGAGUCGACCCCUAAGGCGAGGCCGAAAGGCGUAGUCGAUGGGAAACAGGUUAAUAUUCCUGUACUUGGUGUUACUGCGAAGGGGGGACGGAGAAGGCUAUGUUGGCCGGGCGACGGUUGUCCCGGUUUAAGCGUGUAGGCUGGUUUUCCAGGCAAAUCCGGAAAAUCAAGGCCGAGGCGUGAUGACGAGGCACUACGGUGCUGAAGCAACAAAUGCCCUGCUUCCAGGAAAAGCCUCUAAGCAUCAGGUAACAUCAAAUCGUACCCCAAACCGACACAGGUGGUCAGGUAGAGAAUACCAAGGCGCUUGAGAGAACUCGGGUGAAGGAACUAGGCAAAAUGGUGCCGUAACUUCGGGAGAAGGCACGCUGAUACGUAGGUGAAGCGACUUGCUCGUGGAGCUGAAAUCAGUCGAAGAUACCAGCUGGCUGCAACUGUUUAUUAAAAACACAGCACUGUGCAAACACGAAAGUGGACGUAUACGGUGUGACGCCUGCCCGGUGCCGGAAGGUUAAUUGAUGGGGUUAGCGCAAGCGAAGCUCUUGAUCGAAGCCCCGGUAAACGGCGGCCGUAACUAUAACGGUCCUAAGGUAGCGAAAUUCCUUGUCGGGUAAGUUCCGACCUGCACGAAUGGCGUAAUGAUGGCCAGGCUGUCUCCACCCGAGACUCAGUGAAAUUGAACUCGCUGUGAAGAUGCAGUGUACCCGCGGCAAGACGGAAAGACCCCGUGAACCUUUACUAUAGCUUGACACUGAACAUUGAGCCUUGAUGUGUAGGAUAGGUGGGAGGCUUUGAAGUGUGGACGCCAGUCUGCAUGGAGCCGACCUUGAAAUACCACCCUUUAAUGUUUGAUGUUCUAACGUGGACCCGUGAUCCGGGUUGCGGACAGUGUCUGGUGGGUAGUUUGACUGGGGCGGUCUCCUCCUAAAGAGUAACGGAGGAGCACGAAGGUUGGCUAAUCCUGGUCGGACAUCAGGAGGUUAGUGCAAUGGCAUAAGCCAGCUUGACUGCGAGCGUGACGGCGCGAGCAGGUGCGAAAGCAGGUCAUAGUGAUCCGGUGGUUCUGAAUGGAAGGGCCAUCGCUCAACGGAUAAAAGGUACUCCGGGGAUAACAGGCUGAUACCGCCCAAGAGUUCAUAUCGACGGCGGUGUUUGGCACCUCGAUGUCGGCUCAUCACAUCCUGGGGCUGAAGUAGGUCCCAAGGGUAUGGCUGUUCGCCAUUUAAAGUGGUACGCGAGCUGGGUUUAGAACGUCGUGAGACAGUUCGGUCCCUAUCUGCCGUGGGCGCUGGAGAACUGAGGGGGGCUGCUCCUAGUACGAGAGGACCGGAGUGGACGCAUCACUGGUGUUCGGGUUGUCAUGCCAAUGGCACUGCCCGGUAGCUAAAUGCGGAAGAGAUAAGUGCUGAAAGCAUCUAAGCACGAAACUUGCCCCGAGAUGAGUUCUCCCUGACCCUUUAAGGGUCCUGAAGGAACGUUGAAGACGACGACGU
RNAcentral lists this ribosomal RNA (2832 nucleotides) under Shigella flexneri 2a. RNAcentral describes it as "partial 23S ribosomal RNA". It matches the Rfam family "Bacterial large subunit ribosomal RNA". Lineage: Bacteria; Pseudomonadati; Pseudomonadota; Gammaproteobacteria; Enterobacterales; Enterobacteriaceae. The record is from RNAcentral.